ACACUGCUGAGGAGUCCCACAAUGGGACGAAACGGCCGUACAGUGU
Molecule: non-coding RNA, 46 nt
Filed under: Schistosoma mattheei
Lineage: Eukaryota; Metazoa; Platyhelminthes; Trematoda; Strigeidida; Schistosomatidae
Source: RNAcentral